This 70-nucleotide transfer RNA is filed under the name Marmota marmota marmota (Alpine marmot). It matches the Rfam family "tRNA". From Rfam's summary of the family: Transfer RNA (tRNA) molecules are approximately 80 nucleotides in length. The record is from Rfam by way of RNAcentral. Lineage: Eukaryota; Metazoa; Chordata; Mammalia; Rodentia; Sciuridae. RNAcentral also lists the same sequence under 1 other name.
GGAUAUGGCUAAGUGGUAGAGUCUUUGCCUAGCAUGCGUCAGGCCCUGGGUUCAAUCCCCAGUAUAACCA